GAUGAAGAACGUAGCGAAAUGCGAUAAGUAAUGUGAAUUGCAGAAUUCAGUGAAUCAUCGAAUCUUUGAACGCACAUUGCGCCCGCCAGUAUUCUGGCGGGCAUGCCUGUUCGAGCGUCAUUACAACCCUUCAGGCCCCCGGGCCUGGCGUUGGGGAUCGGCGGAGCCCCCCGUGGGCACACGCCGUCCCCCAAAUGCAGUGGCGGUCCCGCCGCAGCUUCCAUCGCGUAGUAGCUAACACCUCGCGACUGGAGAGCGGCGCGGCCACGCCGUAAAACACCCAACUCUUCUGAAGUUGACCUCGAAUCAGGUAGGAAUACCCGCUGAACUUAAGCAUAUCAAUAAGCGGAGGA
This 353-nucleotide unclassified non-coding RNA is filed under the name soil metagenome. Its description in RNAcentral is "partial contains 5.8S ribosomal RNA, internal transcribed spacer 2, and large subunit ribosomal RNA". The stretch from base 1 to 120 matches the Rfam family "5.8S ribosomal RNA", at positions 35 to 154 of the family's 154-position model. The record is from RNAcentral.